CAGUCGAGCGAGUCUGCCUUGAAGAUCGGAGUGCUUGCACUCUGUGAAACAAGAUACAGGCUAGCGGCGGACGGGUGAGUAACACGUGGGUAACCUGCCCAAGAGAUCGGGAUAACACCUGGAAACAGAUGCUAAUACCGGAUAACAACAGAUGAUGCCUAUCAACUGUUUAGAAGAUGGUUCUGCUAUCACUCUUGGAUGGACCUGCGGUGCAUUAGCUAGUUGGUAGGGUAACGGCCUACCAAGGCGAUGAUGCAUAGCCGAGUUGAGAGACUGAUCGGCCACAUUGGGACUGAGACACGGCCCAAACUCCUACGGGAGGCAGCAGUAGGGAAUCUUCCACAAUGGACGCAAGUCUGAUGGAGCAACGCCGCGUGAGUGAAGAAGGGUUUCGGCUCGUAAAGCUCUGUUGUUGGUGAAGAAGGACGGGGGUAGUAACUGACCUUUGUUUGACGGUAAUCAAUUAGAAAGUCACGGCUAACUACGUGCCAGCAGCCGCGGUAAUACGUAGGUGGCAAGCGUUGUCCGGAUUUAUUGGGCGUAAAGCGAGUGCAGGCGGUUCGAUAAGUCUGAUGUGAAAGCCUUCGGCUCAACCGGAGAAUUGCAUCAGAAACUGUCGAGCUUGAGUACAGAAGAGGAGAGUGGAACUCCAUGUGUAGCGGUGAAAUGCGUAGAUAUAUGGAAGAACACCGGUGGCGAAGGCGGCUCUCUGGUCUGUUACUGACGCUGAGGCUCGAAAGCAUGGGUAGCGAACAGGAUUAGAUACCCUGGUAGUCCAUGCCGUANACGAUGAGUGCUAAGUGUUGGGAGGUUUCCGCCACUCAGUGCUGCAGCUAACGCAUUAAGCACUCCGCCU
RNAcentral lists this ribosomal RNA (856 nucleotides) under uncultured bacterium. Its description in RNAcentral is "bacterial SSU rRNA". It matches the Rfam family "Bacterial small subunit ribosomal RNA", at positions 59 to 874 of the family's 1533-position model. The record is from RNAcentral.